CCAUUAUUACAGAUUUCCUUGUUGUGUUUUCCUUUCUGUUGACUGGCAGAGCAGAGCUUCUCAGCGAAAAGCUAGCCAGAAGAAAUGAGCUUUGAUGAGAACCAUACCCCAUGUUUUGUGUGCUCAGUGUCUCUGGAGCUGUUCGAAGACAAAGGUCUGAUUAAGUUGCUGGACUCGUGACUGACUCCUUCCUCCCUCUCCCACUCACACUGUGCAGUGCUGCUCUGCAACAGCUUUCCUUGCAUUUCACUGUACGCAGCCUCAUAAUUUUUA
Molecule: long non-coding RNA, 273 nt
Filed under: Coturnix japonica (Japanese quail)
Lineage: Eukaryota; Metazoa; Chordata; Aves; Galliformes; Phasianidae
Description: lncRNA (ENSCJPG00005019715.1)
Source: RNAcentral